Molecule: non-coding RNA, 87 nt
Organism: Microthyrium microscopicum
Lineage: Eukaryota; Fungi; Ascomycota; Dothideomycetes; Microthyriales; Microthyriaceae
Source: the annotation of a GenBank genome assembly
UGUAGCUUGGUCUAGUUGGUUCAUGACGUUCGGCUGUAAUUGAUACUAUUACCGAAAGGUCUCCGGCUCGAUUCCGGAAGGGUAAAA